RNAcentral lists this ribosomal RNA (891 nucleotides) under uncultured Rhodanobacter sp. Its description in RNAcentral is "bacterial SSU rRNA". It matches the Rfam family "Bacterial small subunit ribosomal RNA", at positions 58 to 936 of the family's 1533-position model. Lineage: Bacteria; Pseudomonadati; Pseudomonadota; Gammaproteobacteria; Lysobacterales; Rhodanobacteraceae. The record is from RNAcentral.
CAAGUCGAACGGCAGCACAGAGGAGCUUGCUCCUUGGGUGGCGAGUGGCGGACGGGUGAGUAAAGCAUCGGGAUCUACCCUGACGGUGGGGGAUAACCUCGGGAAACCGGGACUAAUACCGCAUACGUCCUACGGGAGAAAGCGGGGGACCUUCGGGCCUCGCGCGGCAGGACGAACCGAUGUGCGAUUAGCUAGUUGGCGGGGUAAUGGCCCACCAAGGCGACGAUCGCUAGCUGGUCUGAGAGGAUGAUCAGCCACACUGGGACUGAGACACGGCCCAGACUCCUACGGGAGGCAGCAGUGGGGAAUAUUGGACAAUGGGCGAAAGCCUGAUCCAGCAAUGCCGCGUGUGUGAAGAAGGCCCUCGGGUUGUAAAGCACUUUUAUCAGGAACGAAAUACCACAGGUUAAUACCUUGUGGGGCUGACGGUACCUGAGGAAUAAGCACCGGCUAACUUCGUGCCAGCAGCCGCGGUAAUACGAAGGGUGCAAGCGUUAAUCGGAAUUACUGGGCGUAAAGGGUGCGUAGGCGGUUGUUUAAGUCUGUCGUGAAAUCCCCGGGCUCAACCUGGGAAUGGCGAUGGAUACUGGGCAGCUAGAGUGUGUCAGAGGAUGGUGGAAUUCCCGGUGUAGCGGUGAAAUGCGUAGAGAUCGGGAGGAACAUCAGUGGCGAAGGCGGCCAUCUGGGACAACACUGACGCUGAAUCACGAAAGCGUGGGGAGCAAACAGGAUUAGAUACCCUGGUAGUCCACGCCCUAAACGAUGCGAACUGGAUGUUGGUCUCAACUCGGAGAUCAGUGUCGAAGCUAACGCGUUAAGUUCGCCGCCUGGGGAGUACGGUCGCAAGACUGAAACUCAAAGGAAUUGACGGGGGCCCGCACAAGCGGUGGA